Small nuclear RNA from Dromiciops gliroides (monito del monte), 106 nucleotides. The record is from RefSeq and is a predicted model, not a curated record. Lineage: Eukaryota; Metazoa; Chordata; Mammalia; Microbiotheria; Microbiotheriidae.
GCUAAUUUCAACAGCACAUGUGCUAACAAUGAAAUGAUACAGAGAAGAUUAGCAAGGCUCCUAUGCAAUGAUGACAUGAAGAUUUGGGAAGAGUUUACAUAUUUUU